CCUACGGGUGGCUGCAGUGGGGAAUUUUCCGCAAUGGGCGAAAGCCUGACGGAGCAAGACCGCGUGGGGGAAGAAGGCUCUUGGGUUGUAAACUCCUUUUCUCUGGGAAGAACAAAAUGACGGUACCAGAGGAAUCAGCAUCGGCUAACUCCGUGCCAGCAGCCGCGGUAAGACGGAGGAUGCAAGCGUUAUCCGGAAUGAUUGGGCGUAAAGCGUCCGCAGGUGGCAGUUCAAGUCUGCUGUCAAAGACCGGGGCUCAACCUCGGAAAGGCAGUGGAAACUGAACAGCUAGAGUAUGGUAGGGGCAAAGGGAAUUCCUGGUGUAGCGGUGAAAUGCGUAGAGAUCAGGAAGAACAUCGGUGGCGAAGGCGCUUUGCUGGACCAUAACUGACACUCAGGGACGAAAGCUAGGGGAGCGAAUGGGAUUAGAUACCCCAGUAGUC
RNAcentral lists this ribosomal RNA (443 nucleotides) under uncultured bacterium. Its description in RNAcentral is "bacterial SSU rRNA". It matches the Rfam family "Bacterial small subunit ribosomal RNA", at positions 338 to 795 of the family's 1533-position model. The record is from RNAcentral.